UACGGGGGGGGCAAGCGUUGUUCGGAAUUACUGGGCGUAAAGGGCUCGUAGGUGGCCAACUAAGUCAGACGUGAAAUCCCUCGGCUUAACCGGGGAACUGCGUCUGAUACUGGAUGGCUUGAGUUCGGGAGAGGGAUGCGGAAUUCCAGGUGUAGCGGUGAAAUGCGUAGAUAUCUGGAGGAACACCGGUGGCGAAGGCGGCUCGCUGGACCGGUUCUGACGCUGAGGCGCGAAAGCGUGGGGAGCAAACAGG
Molecule: ribosomal RNA, 253 nt
Filed under: uncultured bacterium
Lineage: Bacteria
Description: partial 16S ribosomal RNA
Rfam family: Bacterial small subunit ribosomal RNA
Source: RNAcentral